Molecule: long non-coding RNA, 473 nt
Organism: Panicum virgatum (switchgrass)
Lineage: Eukaryota; Viridiplantae; Streptophyta; Magnoliopsida; Poales; Poaceae
Exons: 2
Source: RefSeq, a predicted model, not a curated record
AUAUAUAUAUAUAUAUAUAUAUAUAUGCUGCUAUAUGCUGGUAGCUAGGAGCAGGAAGACCUGCCAUUGUCGUAGCGGUACGUUUGGUAACCGAACCCCAUGGAGGAGAACACAUGGUGCCUGAAACCCAGCAGCCAGCAGGAUCGCGCACGCGGACAGCUCCGGGCAGCCGUUGCACGCGCGCUGGCGCUGGCAGAAGGCGAGCGGCUGGAGGCCGGAUGGAGGCGCCCAGAGGCCUCAGGGACACAGGGCGAGGGAGAGGACACCAAGCACAAGCCAAAGCUGAGGGAGGCGGCGUCUGGCCGAAAGCUCCCACCAUCUCUUGUGAUUGUGAUUCUCGAGCUAAGUUACUAUCAUCUAAUUUCUGUCAUCACCCUCUCUGUUAUCGUCGAUAGAUGUGUGUCACUUCAUCAAACUUUCUUCAGUUUGAUCAUUAGUGUGUUUCAAUGUUCGAUAACAAGCGCGUUUGUUUA